UUAAAGAGUUCUAUAACUCCCAAACCCAUGUGAACAUACCUAACGUUGCCUCGGCAGGUCGCACCUACCUUGUAGCACCCUACCCUGUAGGGCCUACCCGGGAGGUGCGGGUAAGCCUGCCGGCGGCCCACCAAACUCUGUUUGAUAUUGAAUUCUGAACCUAUAACUAAAUAAGUUAAAACUUUCAACAACGGAUCUCUUGGUUCUGGCAUCGAUGAAGAACGCAGCGAAAUGCGAUAAGUAAUGUGAAUUGCAGAAUUCAGUGAAUCAUCGAAUCUUUGAACGCAUAUUGCGCCCAUUAGUAUUCUAGUGGGCAGGACCGUUCGAGCGUCAUUUCAACCCUUAAGCCUUCGUUGCUUAGUGUUGGGAGCCUACGGCAACGUAGCUCCUCAAAGUUAGUGGCGGAGUUGGUUCACACUCUAGACGUAGUAAUUUUUUAUCUCGCCUAUUAGUUGGACUAAUCCCCUGCCGUAAAACCCCCAAUUUAUCAAGGUUGACCUCGAAUCGGUUCAGACAAACUCGCUAAAUUGAAGCAUCUUAGUCAGCGAAGGAAAAGAAACCAACAGGGAUUGCCCUAGUAA
RNAcentral lists this ribosomal RNA (581 nucleotides) under fungal endophyte. RNAcentral describes it as "eukaryotic LSU rRNA". The stretch from base 180 to 333 matches the Rfam family "5.8S ribosomal RNA". Lineage: Eukaryota; Fungi. The record is from RNAcentral.